Molecule: non-coding RNA, 148 nt
Organism: Callithrix jacchus (white-tufted-ear marmoset)
Lineage: Eukaryota; Metazoa; Chordata; Mammalia; Primates; Cebidae
Source: Rfam
AGCUUUGUGCAGUGGCCGUAUCAUAGCUGAUGAGGUUUAACUGAGGUGUGAUACAGCUAAUUGAAAACUUUUCCCUAUACCCCACUAUGACAACUUGAAAUAUAGUCGGCAUUGGGAAUUUUUGACUGACAGCCUCUACGGAGACUGA